UCUCAAAGAUUAAGCCAUGCAUGUGUAAGUAUAAAUAAUUCUACUUUGAAACUGCGAAUGGCUCAUUAUAUCAGUUAUAGUUUAUUAGAAAAAAUGUACUACUUGGAUAACCGUAGUAAUUCUAGGGCUAAUACAUGAGUAAAUCCUCGACUUUGAAGAGGUGUGUUUAUUAGUAUGAAAACCAUAUGCUUCGGCAUAAUAGUGAGUAAUAAUAACCUUUCAUAUCGUAUGUUGAAAUAACGAUAGUUCUUUCAAGUUUCUGCCCUAUCAGCUUUCGAUGGUAGUGCAUUGGACUACCAUGGCAGUA
This 307-nucleotide ribosomal RNA is filed under the name Blastocystis sp. BO17-028. RNAcentral describes it as "SSU rRNA". It matches the Rfam family "Eukaryotic small subunit ribosomal RNA", at positions 35 to 354 of the family's 1831-position model. Lineage: Eukaryota; Bigyra; Opalinata; Blastocystidae. RNAcentral also lists the same sequence under 5 other names. The record is from RNAcentral.